RNAcentral lists this unclassified non-coding RNA (239 nucleotides) under soil metagenome. RNAcentral describes it as "partial contains 5.8S ribosomal RNA, internal transcribed spacer 2, and large subunit ribosomal RNA". The stretch from base 1 to 115 matches the Rfam family "5.8S ribosomal RNA", at positions 35 to 154 of the family's 154-position model. The record is from RNAcentral.
GAUGAAGAACGCAGCGAAACGCGAUAUUUCUUGUGAAUUGCAGAAGUGAAUCAUCAGUUUUUGAACGCACAUUGCACUUUGGGGUAUCCCCCAAAGUAUACUUGUUUGAGCGUUGUUUCUCUCUUGGAAUUGCUUUGCUCUUCUAAAAUUUCGAAUCAAAUUCGUUUGAAAAACAACACUAUUCAACCUCAGAUCAAGUAGGAUUACCGCUGAACUUAAGCAUAUCAAUAAGCGGAGGA